Molecule: ribosomal RNA, 492 nt
Filed under: uncultured bacterium
Lineage: Bacteria
Description: partial 16S ribosomal RNA
Rfam family: Bacterial small subunit ribosomal RNA
Source: RNAcentral
AGUGAACGCUGGCGGUAGGCCUAACACAUGCAAGUCGAACGGCAGCACAGUAAGAGCUUGCUCUUACGGGUGGCGAGUGGCGGACGGGUGAGGAAUACAUCGGAAUCUACUUUUUCGUGGGGGAUAACGUAGGGAAACUGACGCUAAUACCGCAUACGACCUACGGGUGAAAGCAGGGGAUCUUCGGACCUUGCGCGAUUGAAUGAGCCGAUGUCGGAUUAGCUAGUUGGCGGGGUAAAGGCCCACCAAGGCGACGAUCCGUAGCUGGUCUGAGAGGAUGAUCAGCCACACUGGAACUGAGACACGGUCCAGACUCCUACGGGAGGCAGCAGUGGGGAAUAUUGGACAAUGGGCGCAAGCCUGAUCCAGCCAUACCGCGUGGGUGAAGAAGGCCUUCGGGUUGUAAAGCCCUUUUGUUGGGAAAGAAAAGCAGCAGGUUAAUACCCCGCUGUUCUGACGGUACCCAAAGAAUAAGCCCCGGCUAACUUCGUG